RNAcentral lists this ribosomal RNA (495 nucleotides) under uncultured bacterium. RNAcentral describes it as "partial 16S ribosomal RNA". It matches the Rfam family "Bacterial small subunit ribosomal RNA", at positions 28 to 507 of the family's 1533-position model. The record is from RNAcentral.
GACGAACGCUGGCGGCGUGCCUAAUACAUGCAAGUAGAACGCUGAAGGUUGAGCUUGCUCUUCUGGAUGAGUUGCGAACGGGUGAGUAACGCGUAGGUAACCCGUCUGGUAGCGGCGGAGAACCAUUGGAAACGAUAGCUAAUACCGCAUAAGAGUAGAUUUUGCAUAACAUUUGCUUAAAAAGUGCAUUUGCAUCACUACCACAUGGACAUGCGUUGUAUUAGCUUGUUGGUGGGGUAACGGCUCACCAAGGCGACGAUACAUAGCCGACCUGGGAGGGUGAUCGGCCACACUGGGACUGAGACACGGCCCAGACUCCUACGGGAGGCAGCAGUAGGGAAUCUUCGGCAAUGGACGGAAGUCUGACCGAGCAACGCCGCGUGAGUGAAGAAGGUUUUCGGAUCGUAAAGCUCUGUUGUAAGAGAAGAACGAGUGUGAGAGUGGAAAGUUCACACUGUGACGGUAUCUUACCAGAAAGGGACGGCUAACUACGUG